CCAAACUUGGUCAUUUAGAGGAAGUAAAAGUCAUAACAAGGUUUCUGUAGGUGAACCUGCAGAAGGAUCAUUAGUGAAUUAAUAGAUGUGUCAUUCGUGACCAUCGAUUCUUUUAUCUAAACCCGUCAUGUCUUGGGCAACUAAGCAUGACAAAAACCUUUUUUAUUAAAACUCGUUUUUAAUAUAUAAAAGUCAGUGUUGACUCUAAACCCACAACAAUAUAACUAAAGAAAACUUUUGACAACGGAUCUCUUGGUUCUCCCAUCGAUGAAGAACGCAGC
RNAcentral lists this unclassified non-coding RNA (281 nucleotides) under uncultured fungus. RNAcentral's name for it is "partial contains small subunit ribosomal RNA, internal transcribed spacer 1, and 5.8S ribosomal RNA". The stretch from base 1 to 73 matches the Rfam family "Eukaryotic small subunit ribosomal RNA", at positions 1759 to 1831 of the family's 1831-position model. Lineage: Eukaryota; Fungi. The record is from RNAcentral.